This 1415-nucleotide ribosomal RNA is filed under the name Vibrio cholerae. Its description in RNAcentral is "partial 23S ribosomal RNA". It matches the Rfam family "Bacterial large subunit ribosomal RNA", at positions 1 to 1427 of the family's 2925-position model. The record is from RNAcentral. Lineage: Bacteria; Pseudomonadati; Pseudomonadota; Gammaproteobacteria; Vibrionales; Vibrionaceae.
GGUCAAGUUAUUAAGGGCGCAGGGCGGAUGCCUUGGCACUAAGAGCCGAUGAAGGACGCGAUAAGCUGCGAUAAGCUUCGGGGAGUUGCACGUAAACUUUGAUCCGAAGAUUUCCGAAUGAGGAAACUCACUUAGAGUAAUGUCUAAGUAUCAUUAAGUGAAUACAUAGCUUAAUGAGGGGAACCCGGGGAACUGAAACAUCUAAGUACCCGGAGGAAAAGAAAGAAAUUCGAUUCCGUAAGUAGCGGCGAGCGAACGCGGAAUAGCCCAAACCAGUGAAGUUUUCUUCGCUGGGGUUGCGGACACAUCAUCAACGAAGAGGUAUCGUAAACGAAGAGAGUUGGAAAGCUCCGCUAUAAAGUGUAAUAGCCACGUAGUUGAAACGAGAAGACUUUAGAUGUGAUCCAGAGUACCACGGGACACGUGAAACCCUGUGGGAAGCAGGAGGGACCAUCCUCCAAGGCUAAAUACUACUUAGUGACCGAUAGCGCAUAGUACCGUGAGGGAAAGGUGAAAAGAACCCCGGGAGGGGAGUGAAAUAGAACCUGAAACCCUGUGCUUACAAGCUGUGGGAGCACUUUAUAUGUGUGACCGCGUACUUUUUGUAGAACGGGCCAACGAGUUACGACAGUAAGCAAGGUUAAGUACUUAAGGUAUGGAGCCGUAGUGAAAGCGAGUCUUAAAUGGGCGUUAAGUUUUCUGUCGUAGACCCGAAACCGGGCGACCUACCCAUGAGCAGGAUGAAGCGAAAGUAAAAUUUCGUGGAGGUCCGAACCCACGAGCGUUGAAAAGCUCGGGGAUGACUUGUGGGUAGCGGUGAAAUUCCAAUCGAGCCCGGAGAUAGCUGGUUCUCCCCGAAAUAGCUUUAGGGCUAGCCUCAAGGUUGAGAAAUACGGAGGUAGAGCACUGAAUAUCCUAGGGGGCAUUGCGCUUACCGAAGAUUAUCAAACUCCGAAUGCCGUUAUUUUAUACUUGGGAGUCAGACUGUGGGUAAUAAGAUUCAUAGUCGAGAGGGCAACAGCCCAGAUCGUCAGCUAAGGUCCCUAAAUGUAAGUUAAGUGGUAAAGGAUGUGGGAUUGCAUAGACAACCAGGAUGUUGGCUUAGAAGCAGCCACUCAUUUAAAGAGUGCGUAAUAGCUCACUGGUCGAGUGAUCCUGCGCCGAAGAUUACCGGGGCUAAAACUUACUACCGAAGCUACGAUAUCAUUUAUGAUAGGUAGGGGAGCUUCCUAUGCAGGCUGAAGCAUGACCGUAAGGACAUGUGGACAGUAUAGGAGUGAGAAUGUUGGCAUGAGUAGCGAGACGUGGGUGAGAAUCCCACGGGCCGUAAACCCAAGGUUUCCAGGGGAAGGUUCGUCCGCCCUGGGUUAGUCGGGACCUAAGCCGAGGCCGAAAGGCGUAGGUGAUGGACAACA